This 502-nucleotide ribosomal RNA is filed under the name uncultured bacterium. RNAcentral describes it as "partial 16S ribosomal RNA". It matches the Rfam family "Bacterial small subunit ribosomal RNA", at positions 28 to 507 of the family's 1533-position model. The record is from RNAcentral.
GACGAACGCUGGCGGCGUGCCUAAUACAUGCAAGUCGAACGAACCGCGACUAGGUGCUUGCACUUGGUCAAGGUGAGUGGCGAACGGGUGAGUAACACGUGGGUAACCUACCUCAUAGUGGGGGAUAACAGUCGGAAACGACUGCUAAUACCGCAUAGGACAUAGGAUCACAUGAUCCAGUGAGGAAAGGUGGCGCAAGCUAUCGCUAAGAGAUGGACCCGCGGUGCAUUAGCUAGUUGGUAGGGUAAAGGCCUACCAAGGCGAUGAUGCAUAGCCGACCUGAGAGGGUGAUCGGCCACAUUGGGACUGAGACACGGCCCAAACUCCUACGGGAGGCAGCAGUAGGGAAUCUUCCGCAAUGGACGCAAGUCUGACGGAGCAACGCCGCGUGAGUGAAGAAGGUCUUCGGAUCGUAAAGCUCUGUUGUUAGGGAAGAACAGCGCAUAGAGUAACUGUUAUGCGUGUGACGGUAUCUAACCAGAAAGCCACGGCUAACUACGUG